RNAcentral lists this ribosomal RNA (441 nucleotides) under uncultured bacterium. RNAcentral's name for it is "partial 16S ribosomal RNA". It matches the Rfam family "Bacterial small subunit ribosomal RNA", at positions 28 to 507 of the family's 1533-position model. The record is from RNAcentral.
GAUGAACGCUGGCGGCGUGCCUAAUACAUGCAAGUCGAACGGGGAGUCGCAAUACUCUUAGUGGCGAACGGGUGAGUAACGCGUUGGUACCUGCCCCGAAGCGGGGGAUAACGGACCGAAAGGUCCGCUAAUACCCCAUGUGCUCGGUAACGAGUAAAGGUGAACACCACUUUGGGAGGGGCCUGCGUCCCAUCAUCUAGUUGGUAAGGUAACGGCUUACCAAGGCGAUGACGGGUAGGGGACCUGAGAGGGUGGCCCCCCACAAUGGAACUGAAACACGGUCCAUACACCUACGGGUGGCAGCAGUAGGGAAUAUAGGAAAUGGGCGCAAGCCUGAACCAGCAACGGCGCGUGAGCGAUGACGGCCUUCGGGUUGUAAAGCACUUUUGACUGGGACGAGGAAGGACGGUACCGGUCGAAUCAGCCUCGGCUAACUACGUG